GAUAUGCAAGAGAGAUAUUCAGAGAUAAGUCUCAAGUUUGCAGAGGUAGAAGGUGAAAGACAAAAGCUUGUGAUGACUCUACGCAACCUCAAGAAUGCCAAGAAGAGUUGAGUUGAUGACGAUUUCAAAAAUAUAUAUAAUUCAAAACCUAUAUACAAUGUAAAUAUAGUUGCAGCAGCUGGAUGCGCCCUCUCUAAAAAAUCGAUGUGGCAGUUCUGUUGGCGUGAAUAAUUAGAUUGUACAAAGUUCAUAGAAUUUUACCUUUUAGUUUUCGAGUGUAGGGUAAAGGGUUCUUCACCGUCUGAUUCAUGUUCUUUCAGUAAUCCUUAUUUUUUUGGUUUAAACCUUUUCAUGAUGUAUGUGAAGUUUCUCAUCAAUGUAUUCAUUCAUUUUUUAUAUAUAUAUAUUUUUUCUGUUUUGUUUUACCUUUGCCCCCUGCGGAACAGCUGACUUCUGUGGUAAAAAAUUACUGAUUACUUGUGGUACUUUCUUCUCCUUAGCGAUGAUGAUAUUUCAAUAGAGAAAGAUGUGAAACCGUCCACCACAAACAAUGAAGAGUGCAACAUUAAUGAUACGCUGAUAGAACUAGAUUCUCUCAAGGAAAAAAACCAAUGCAUGGAAAGCGAGCUAAAGGAUAUGCAAGAGAGAUAUUCAGAGAUAAGUCUCAAGUUUGCAGAGGUAGAAGGUGAAAGACAAAAGCUUGUGAUGACUCUACGCAACCUCAAGAAUGCCAAGAAGAGUUGAGUUGAUGACGAUUUCAAAAAUAUAUAUAAUUCAAAACCUAUAUACAAUGUAAAUAUAGUUGCAGCAGCUGGAUGCGCCCUCUCUAAAAAAUCGAUGUGGCAGUUCUGUUGGCGUGAAUAAUUAGAUUGUACAAAGUUCAUAGAAUUUUACCUUUUAGUUUUCGAGUGUAGGGUAAAGGGUUCUUCACCGUCUGAUUCAUGUUCUUUCAGUAAUCCUUAUUUUUUUGGUUUAAACCUUUUCAUGAUGUAUGUGAAGUUUCUCAUCAAUGUAUUCAUUCAUUUUUCUUGGUAAAUAUGUAAUCUAAACUAUAUGUACUGCAUAUGGGGUAUUAUUGAUAAAUCCAACAGCAAAUAUUUAUAUGGGAUAUUAUUGAUAAAUCCAACAGCUAAUAUUAUAUGGAGUAUUA
This 1150-nucleotide long non-coding RNA is filed under the name Citrus sinensis (sweet orange). RNAcentral's name for it is "long non-coding RNA (CSIN_LNC001883)". The record is from RNAcentral. Lineage: Eukaryota; Viridiplantae; Streptophyta; Magnoliopsida; Sapindales; Rutaceae.